Molecule: long non-coding RNA, 20563 nt
Filed under: Brassica rapa (field mustard)
Lineage: Eukaryota; Viridiplantae; Streptophyta; Magnoliopsida; Brassicales; Brassicaceae
Description: long non-coding RNA (BRAP_LNC004738)
Source: RNAcentral
AGUUGUAUUUUUUAAAUAUAAUUUUCAAAAAUUCUAUUUUAGGAAAGUUUUCAUUUUUUCAUAGAAAUAUUGUAGAUUUGGGGUUGUGGUUUAGAAAUUAGGAUAACAAUAAUUUUUGUUGAUAGAUGAGUAUUCUUUUAAAUUUUUUUGAUCAGUAGUUGUAUUUUUUAAAUAUAAUUUUCAAAAAUUCUAUUUUAGGAAAGUUUUCAUUUUUCAUAGAAAUAUUGUAGAUUUGGGGUUGUGAUUUAGAAAUUAGGAUAACAAUAAUUUUUGUUGAUAGAUGAGUAUUAUUUCAGAUUUUUUUGAUCAAUAGUUGUAUUUUUUAAAUAUAAUUUUCGAAAAUUCUAUUUGAGGAAAGUUUUCAUUUUUUUCAUUGAAAUAUUGUAGAUUUGGGGUUGUGGUUUAUAAAUUAGGAUAUCAAUAAUUUUUGAUGAUAGAUGAGUAUUCUUUUAAAUUUUUUUGAUCUAUAGAUGUAUUUUUUAAAUAUAAUUUUCAAAAAUUCUAUUUUAGGAAAGUUUUCCUUUUUUCAUCGAAAUAUUGUAGAUUUGGGUUUGUGAUUUAGAAAUUAGGAUAACAUAAUUUUGUUGAUAGAUGAGUAUUCUUUCAGAUUUUUUUGAUCAAUAGUUGUAUUUUUAAAAUAUAAUUUUCAAAAUUCAAAAUUAUAUUUAGGAAAGUUUUCAUUUUUUCAUAGAAAUAUUGUAGAUUUGGGUUGUGGUUUAGAAAUUAGGAUAACAAUAAUUUUGUUGAUAGAUGAGUUCUUUUAGAUUUUUUUGAUCAAUAGUUUUAUUUUCUAAAUAUAAUUUUCAAAAAUUCUAUUUUAGGAAAGUUUUCAUUUUUUCAUAGAAAUAUUGUAGAUUUGGGGUUGUGAUUUAGAAAUUUUGAUAACAAUAAUUUUUGUUGAUAGAUGAGUAUUAUUUCAGAUUUUUUUGAUCAAUAGUUGUAUUUUUUAAAUAUAAUUCUCAAAAAUUCUAUUUUAGGAAAGUUUUCAUUUUUUCAUAGAAAUAUUGUAGAUUUGGGGUUGUGGUUUAGAAAUUAGGAUAACAAUAAUUUUUGUUGAUAGAUGAGUAUUCUUUUAAAUUUUUUUGAUCAGUAGUUGUAUUUUUUAAAUAUAAUUUUCAAAAAUUCUAUUUUAGGAAAGUUUUCAUUUUUUCAUAGAAAUAUUGUAGAUUUGGGGUUGUGAUUUAGAAAUUAUGAUAAGAAUAAUUUUUGUUGAUAGAUGAGUAUUAUUUCAGAUUUUUUUGAUCAAUAGUUGUAUUUUUAAAUAUAAUUUCAAAAAUUCUAUUUUAGGAAAGUUUUCAUUUUUUCAUAGAAAUAUUGUAGAUUUGGGUUGUGGUUUAGAAAUUAGGAUAACAAUAAUUUUUGUUGAUAGAUGAGUAUUCUUUUAAAUUUUUUGAUCAAUAGUUGUAUUUUUUAAAUAUAAUUUUCAAAAAUUCUAUUUUAGGAAAGUUUUCAUUUUUUCAUAGAAAUAUUGUAGAUUUGGGGUUGUGAUUUAGAAAUUAGGAUAACAAUAAUUUUUGUUGAUAGAUGAGUAUUAUUUUCAGAUUUUUUUGAUCAAUAGUUGUAUUUUUUAAAUAUAAUUUUCAAAAAUUCUAUUUUAGGAAAGUUUUCAUUUUUUCAUGAAAUAUUGUAGAUUUGGGGUUGUGGUUUAGAAAUUAGGAUAACAAUAAUUUUUGUUGAUAGAUGAGUAUUCUUUUAAUUUUUUGAUCAAGUGUUGUAUUUUUUAAAUAUAAUUUUCAAAAAUUCUAUUUUAGGAAAGUUUUCUUUUUUUCAUAGAUAUUUGUAGAUUUGGGGUUGUGAUUUAGAAAUUAGAUAACAAUAAUUUUUGUUGAUAGAUGAGUAUUAUUUCAGAUUUUUUUGAUCAAUAGUUGUAUUUUUUAAAUAUAAUUUUCAAAAAUUCUAUUUUAGGAAAGUUUUCAUUUUUCAUUAGAAAUAUUGUAGAUUUGGGGUUGUGGUUAGAAAUAGGAUAACAAUAAUUUUUGUUGAUAGAUGAGUAUUCUUUUAGAUUUUUUGAUCAAUAGUUGUAUUUUUUAAAUAUAAUUUUCAAAAUUCUAUUUUAGGAAAGUUUUCAUUUUUUCAUAGAAAUAUUGUAGAUUUGGGGUUGUGAUUUAGAAAUUAGGAUAACAAUAAUUUUUGUUGAUAGAUGAGUAUUCUUUUAAAUUUUUUUGAUCAAUAGUUGUAUUUUUUAAAUAUAAUUUUCAAAAAUUCUAUUUUAGGAAAGUUUUCAUUUUUUCAUGAAAUAUUGUAGAUUUGGGUUGUGGUUUAGAAAUUAGGAUAACAAUAAUUUUUGUUGAUAGAUGAGUAUUCUUUUAGAUUUUUUUGAUCAAUAGUUUAUUUUUUAAAUAUAAUUUCAAAAAUUCUAUUUUAGGAAAUUUUCAUUUUUCAUAGAAAUAUUGUAGAUUUGGGGUUGUGAUUUAGAAAUUAGGAUAACAAUAAUUUUUGUUGAUAGAUGAGUUAUUUUCAGAUUUUUUGAUCAAUAGUUGUAUUUUUUAAAUAUAAUUUUCAAAAAUUCUAUUUUAGGAAAGUUUUCAUUUUUCAUAGAAAUAUUGUAGAUUUGGGUUGUGGUUUAGAAAUUAGGAUAACAAUAAUUUUUGUUGAUAGAUGAGUAUUCUUUUAGAUUUUUUUGAUCAAUAGUUGUAUUUUUAAAUAUAAUUUUCAAAAAUUCUAUUUUAGGAAAGUUUUCAUUUUUCAUAGAAAUAUUGUAGAUUUGGGGUUGUGAUUUAGAAAUUAGGAUAACAAUAAUUUUUGUUGAUAGAUGAGUAUUAUUUUCAGAUUUUUUGAUCAAUAGUUGUAUUUUUAAAUAUAAUUUUCAAAAAUUCUAUUUUAGGAAAGUUUUCAUUUUUUCAAAGAAAUAUUGUAGAUUUGGGGUUGUGAUUUAGAAAUUAGGAUAACAAUAAUUUUUGUUGAUAGAUGAGUAUUCUUUUAAAUUUUUUUGAUAUAGUUGUAUUUUUUAAAUAUAAUUUUCAAAAAUUCUAUUUUAGGAAAGUUUUCAUUUUUUCAUAGAAAUAUUGUAGAUUUGGGGUUGUGGUUAGAAAUUAGGAUAACAAUAAUUUUUGUUGAUAGAUGAGUAUUGGAAAGUUUUCAUUUUUUCAUAGAAAUAUUGUAGAUUUGGGGUUGUGAUUUAGAAAUUAGGAUAACAAUAAUUUUUGUUGAUAGAUGAGUAUUCUUAAAUUUUUGAUCAAUAGUUGUAUUUUUUAAAUAUAAUUUCAAAAAUUCUAUUUUAGGAAAGUUUUCAUUUUUUCAUAGAAAUAUUGUAGAUUUGGGGUUGUGAUUUAGAAAUUAGGAUAACAAUAAUUUUUGUUGAUAGAUGAGUAUUCUUUAAAUUUUUUUGAUCAAUAGUUGUAUUUUUAAAUAUAAUUUUCAAAAAUUCUAUUUUAGGAAAGUUUUCAUUUUUCAUAGAAAUAUUGUAGAUUUGGGGUUGUGAUUUAGAAAUAGGAUAACAAUAAUUUUUGUUGAUAGAUGAGUAUUUUUAGAUUUUUUUGAUCAAUAGUUGUAUUUUUUAAAUAUAAUUCUCAAAAAUUAUAUUUUAGGAAAGUUUUCAUUUUUUCAUAGAAAUAUUGUAGAUUUGGGGUUGUGGUUUAGAAAUUAGGAUAACAAUAAUUUUUGUUGAUAGAUGAGUAUUCUUUUAGAUUUUUUUGAUCAAUAGUUUUAUUUUCUAAAUAUAAUUUUCAAAAAUUCUAUUUUAGGAAAGUUUUCAUUUUUUCAUAGAAAUAUUGUAGAUUUGGGGUUGUGAUUUAGAAAAUUUGAUAACAAUAAUUUUUGUUGAUAGAUGAGUAUUAUUUCAGAUUUUUUGAUCAAUAGUUGUAUUUUUUAAAUAUAAUUCUAAAAAUUCUAUUUUAGGAAAGUUUUCAUUUUUCAUAGAAAUAUUGUAGAUUUGGGGUUGUGGUUUAGAAAUUAGGAUAACAAUAAUUUUUGUUGAUAGAUGAGUAUUUUUUAUUUUUUUGAUCAAUAGUUGUAUUUUUAAAUAUAAUUUUCAAAAAUUCUAUUUUAGGAAAGUUUUCAUUUUUUCAUAGAAUAUUGUAGAUUUGGGGUUGUGAUUUAGAAAUUAGGAUAACAAUAAUUUUUGUUGAUAGAUGAGUAUUUUUAGAUUUUUUUGAUCAAUAGUUGUAUUUUUUAAAUAUAAUUUUCAAAAAUUCUAUUUUAGGAAAGUUUUCAUUUUUUCAUAGAAAUAUUGUAGAUUUGGGGUUGUGAUUUAGAAAUUAGGAUAACAAUAAUUUUUGUUGAUAGAUGAGUAUUCUUUUAAAUUUUUUGAUCAAUAGUUGUAUUUUUAAAUAAUAAUUUUCAAAAAUUCUAUUUUAGGAAAGUUUUCAUUUUUUCAUAGAAAUAUUGUAGAUUUGGGGUUGUGGUUUAGAAAUUAGGAUAACAAUAAUUUUUGUUGAUAGAUGAGUAUUUUUAAAAUUUUUUUGAUCAAUAGUUGUAUUUUUAAAUAUAAUUUCAAAAAUUCUAUUUUAGAGAAAGUUUUCAUUUUUCCAUAGAAAAUGUAGAUUUGGGGUUGUGAUUUAGAAAUUAGGAUAACAAUAAUUUUUGUUGAUAGAUGAGUAUUCUUUUAAAUUUUUUGAUCAAUAUUUGUAUUUUUAAAUAUAAUUUUCAAAAUUCUAUUUUAGGAAAGUUUUCAUUUUUUUCAUAGAAAUAUUGUAGAUUUGGGUUGUGAUUUAGAAAUUAGGAUAACAAUAAUUUUUGUUGAUAGAUGAGUAUUCUUUUAAAUUUUUUUGAUCAAUAGUUGUAUUUUUUAAAUAUAAUUUUCAAAAAUUCUAUUUUAGGAAGUUUUCAUUUUUUCAUAGAAAUAUUGUAGAUUGGGGUUGUGGUUUAGAAAUUAGGAUAACAAUAAUUUUUGUUGAUAGAUGAGUAUUCUUUUAAAUUUUUUGAUCAUAAUAGUUGUAUUUUUUAAAUAUAAUUUUCAAAAAUUCUAUUUUAGGAAAGUUUUCAUUUUUCAUAGAAAUAUUGUAGAUUUGGGGUUGUGAUUUAGAAAUUAGGAUAACAAUAAUUUUUGUUGAUAGAUGAGUAUUCUUUUAUUUUUUUGAUCAAUAGUUGUAUUUUUUAAAUAUAAUUUCAAAAUUCUAUUUUAGGAAAGUUUUCAUUUUUUCAUAGAAAUAUUGUAGAUUUGGGGUUGUGGUUUAGAAAUUAGGAUAACAAUAAUUUGUUGAUAGAUGAGUAUUCUUUAAAUUUUUUUGAUCAAUAGUUGUAUUUUUUAAAUAUAAUUUUCAAAAAUUCUAUUUUAGGAAAGUUUUCAUUUUUUCAUAGAAAUAUUGUAGAUUUGGGGUUGUGAUUUAGAAAUUAGGAUAACAAUAAUUUUUGUUGAUAGAUGAGUAUUCUUUUAAAUUUUUUGAUCAAUAGUUGUAUUUUUAAAUAUAAUUUUCAAAAAUUCUAUUUUAGGAAAGUUUUCAUUUUUUCAUAGAAAUAUUGUAGAUUUGGGGUUGUGGUUUAGAAAUUAGGAUAACAAUAAUUUUUGUGAUAGAUGAGUAUUCUUUUAAUUUUUUUGAUCAAUAGUUGUAUUUUUUAAAUAUAAUUUUCAAAAAUUCUAUUUUAGGAAAGUUUUCAUUUUUUCAUAGAAAUAUUGUAGAUUUGGGGUUGUGAUUUAGAAAUUAGGAUAACAAUAAUUUUUGUUGAUAGAUGAGUAUUCUUUUAAAUUUUUUGAUCAAUAGUUGUAUUUUUUAAAUAUAUUUUCAAAAAUUCUAUUUUAGGAAAGUUUUCAUUUUUUCAUAGAAAUAUUGUAGAUUUGGGGUUGUGAUUUAGAAAUUAGGAUAACAAUAAUUUUUGUUGAUAGAUGAGUAUUCUUUUUAAUUUUUUGAUCAAUAGUUGUAUUUUUUAAAUAUAAUUUUCAAAAAUUCUAUUUUAGGAAAGUUUUCAUUUUUUCAUAGAAAUAUUGUAGAUUUGGGGUUGUGGUUUAGAAAUUAGGAUAACAAUAAUUUUGUUGAUAGAUGAGUAUUCUUUUAAUUUUUUUGAUCAAUAGUUGUAUUUUUUAAAUAUAAUUUAAAAUUCUAUUUUAGGAAAGUUUUCAUUUUUCAUAGAAAUAUUGUAGAUUUGGGGUGUAUUUAGAAAUUAGGAUACAAUAAUUUUUGUUGAUAGAUGAGUAUUAUUUCAGAUUUUUUUGAUCAAUAGUUGUAUUUUUUAAAUAUAAUUUUCAAAAAUUCUAUUUUAGGAAAGUUUUCAUUUUUCAUUGAAAAAUAUGUAGAUUUGGGGUUGUGGUUUAGAAAUUAGGAUAACAAUAAUUUUUGUUGAUAGAUGAGUAUUCUUUUAAAUUUUUUUGAUCAAUAGUUGUAUUUUUUAAAUAUAAUUUCAAAAAUUCUAUUUUAGGAAAGUUUUCAUUUUUUCAUAGAAAUAUUGUAGAUUUGGGUUGUGAUUUAGAAAUUAGGAUAACAAUAAUUUUGUUGAUAGAUGAGUAUUAUUUCAGAUUUUUUUGAUCAAUAGUUGUAUUUUUAAAAUAUAAUUUUCAAAAAUUCUAUUUUAGGAAAGUUUUCAUUUUUUCAUAGAAAUAUUGUAGAUUUGGGGUUGUGGUUUAAAAUUAGGAUAACAAUAAUUUUUGUUGAUAGAUGAGUAUUCUUUUAGAUUUUUUGAUCAAUAGUUGUAUUUUAAAUAUAAUUUUCAAAAAUUCUAUUUUAGGAAAGUUUUCAUUUUUCAUAGAAAUAUUGUAGAUUUGGGGUUGUGUAGAAAUUAGGAUAACAAUAAUUUUUGUUGAUAGAUGAGUAUUAUUUCAGAUUUUUUUGAUCAAUAGUUGUAUUUUUUAAAUAUAAUUUUCAAAAAUUCUAUUUUAGGAAAGUUUUCAUUUUUUCAUAGAAAUAUUGUAGAUUUGGGGUUGUGGUUUAGAAAUUAGGAUAACAAUAAUUUUUGUUGAUAGAUGAGUAUUCUUUUAAAUUUUUUUGAUCAAUAGUUGUAUUUUUUAAAUAUAAUUUUCAAAAAUUCUAUUUUAGGAAAGUUUUCAUUUUUCAUAGAAAUAUUGUAGAUUUGGGGUUGUGAUUUAGAAAUUAGGAUAACAAUAAUUUUGUUGAUAGAUGAGUAUUAUUUCAGAUUUUUUUGAUCAAUAGUUGUAUUUUUUAAAUAUAUUUCAAAAAUUCUAUUUUAGGAAAGUUUUCAUUUUUUCAUAGAAAUAUUGUAGAUUUGGGGUUGUGGUUUAGAAAUUAGGAUAACAAUAUUUUGUUGAUAGAUGAGUAUUCUUUUAAUUUUUGAUCAAUAGUUGUAUUUUUAAAUAUAAUUUUCAAAAAUUCUAUUUUAGGAAAGUUUUCAUUUUUUCAUAGAAAUAUUGUAGAUUUGGGGUUGUGGUUUAGAAAUUAGGAUAACAAUAAUUUUUGUUGAUAGAUGAGUAUUCUUUAAGAUUUUUUGAUCAAUAGUUGUAUUUUUUAAAUAUAAUUUUCAAAAAUUCUAUUUUAGGAAAGUUUUCAUUUUUCAUAGAAUAUUGUAGAUUUGGGGUUGUGGUUUAGAAAUUAGGAUAACAAUAAUUUUUGUUGAUAGAUGAGUAUUCUUUUAAAUUUUUUGAUCAAUAGUUGUAUUUUUUAAAUAUAAUUUCAAAAAUUCUAUUUUAGGAAAGUUUUUUUUUUUCAUAGAAAUAUUGUAGAUUUGGGGUUGUGAUUUAGAAAUUAGGAUAACAAUAAUUUUUGUUGAUAGAUGAGUAUUCUUUUAGUUUUUUUGAUCAAUAGUUGUAUUUUUUAAAUAUAAUUUUCAAAAUUCUAUUUUAGGAAAGUUUUCAUUUUUUCAUAGAAUAUUGUAGAUUUGGGGUUGUGGUUUAGAAAUUAGGAUAACAAUAAUUUUUGUUGAUAGAUGAGUAUUCUUUUAAAUUUUUUUGAUCAAUAGUUGUAUUUUUAAAUAUAUUUUCAAAAAUUCUAUUUUGGAAAGUUUUCAUUUUUUCAUAGAAAUAUUGUAGAUUUGGGGUUGUGGUUUAGAAAUUAGGAUAACAAUAAUUUUUGUUGAUAGAUGAGUAUCUUUUAAAUUUUUUGAUCAAUAGUUUGUAUUUUUUAAAUAUAAUUUCAAAAAUUCUAUUUAGGAAAGUUUUCAUUUUUUCAUAGAAAUAUUGUAGAUUUGGGGUUGUGAUUUAGAAAUUAGGAUAACAAUAAUUUUUGUUGAUAGAUGAGUAUUCUUUAAAUUUUUUUGAUCAAUAGUUGUAUUUUUAAAUAUAAUUUUGAUAGAUGAGUAUUCUUUUAAAUUUUUUGAUCAAUAGUUGUAUUUUUUAAAUAUAAUUUUCAAAAAUUCUAUUUUAGGAAAGUUUUCAUUUUUCAUAGAAAUAUUGUAGAUUUGGGGUUGUGAUUUAGAAAUUAGGAUAACAAUAUAUUUUGUUGAUAGAUGAGUAUUAUUUCAGAUUUUUUUGAUCAAUAGUUGUAUUUUUUAAAUAUAAUUUUCAAAAAUUCUAUUUUAGGAAAGUUUUCAUUUUUUCAUAGAAAUAUUGUAGAUUUGGGGUUGUGGUUUAGAAAUUAGGAUAACAAUUUUUGUUGAUAGAUGAGUAUUCUUUUAAAUUUUUGAUCAAUAGUUGUAUUUUUUAAAUAUAAUUUCAAAAAUUCUAUUUUAGGAAAGUUUUCAUUCAUAGAAAUAUUGUAGAUUUGGGGUUGUGAUUUAGAAAUUAGGAUAACAAUUUUUUUGAUAGAUGAGUAUUAUUUCAGAUUUUUUUGAUCAAUAGUUGUAUUUUUUAAAUAUAAUUUUCAAAAAUUCUAUUUUAGGAAAGUUUUCAUUUUUUUCAUUGAAAUAUUGUAGAUUUGGGGUUGUGGUUUAGAAAUUAGGAUAUCAAAAUUUUUGUUGAUAGAUGAGUAUUCUUUUAAAUUUUUUGAUCAAUAGUUGUAUUUUUUAAUAUAAUUUUCAAAAAUUCUAUUUUAGGAAAGUUUUUUUUUUUUCAUAGAAAUAUUGUAGAUUUGGGGUGUGGUUUAGAAAUUAGGAUAACAAUAAUUUUGUUGAUAGAUGAGUAUUCUUUUAAAUUUUUGAUCAAUAGUUGUAUUUUUUAAAUAUAAUUUCAAAAAUUCUAUUUUAGGAAAGUUUUCAUUUUUUCAUAGAAAUAUUGUAGAUUUGGGGUUGUGAUUUAGAAAUUAGGAUAACAAUAAUUUUUGUUGAUAGAUGAGUAUUCUUUUAGAUUUUUUUGAUCAAUAGUUGUAUUUUUUAAAUAUAAUUUUCAAAAAUUCUAUUUUAGGAAAGUUUUCAUUUUUUCAUAGAAAUAUUGUAGAUUUGGGGUUGUGGUUUAGAAAUUAGGAUAACAAUAAUUUUUGUUGAUAGAUGAGUAUUCUUUUAAAUUUUUUUGAUCAAUAGUUGUAUUUUUUAAAUAUAAUUUUCAAAAUUCUAUUUUAGGAAAGUUUUCAUUUUUCAUAGAAAUAUUGUAGAUUUGGGGUUGUGAUUUAGAAAUUAGGAUAACAAUAAUUUUUGUUGAUAGAUGAGUAUUCUUUUAGAUUUUUUGAUCAAUAGUUGUAUUUUUAAAUAUAAUUUUCAAAAAUUCUAUUUUAGGAAAGUUUUCAUUUUUCAAUAAAUAUUGUAGAUUUGGGGUUGUGAUUUAGAAAUUAGGAUAACAAUAAUUUUUGUUGAUAGAUGAGUAUUCUUUUAAAUUUUUUGAUCAAUAGUUGUAUUUUUAAAUAUAAUUUUCAAAAAUUCUAUUUUAGGAAAGUUUUCAUUUUUUCAUAGAAAUAUUGUAGAUUUGGGUUGUGAUUUAGAAAUUAGGAUAACAAUAAUUUUUGUUGAUAGAUGAGUAUUUUAGGAUAACAAUAAUUUUUGUUGAUAGAUGAGUAUUAUUUUCAGAUUUUUUUGAUCAAUAGUUGUAUUUUUUAAAUAUAAUUCUCAAAAAUUCUAUUUUAGGAAAGUUUUCAUUUUUCAUAGAAAUAUUGUAGAUUUGGGGUUGUGGUUUAGAAAUUAGGAUAACAAUAAUUUUUGUUGAUAGAUGAGUAUUCUUUUAGAUUUUUUUGAUCAAUAGUGUAUUUUUUAAAUAUAAUUUUCAAAAAUUCUAUUUUAGGAAAGUUUUCAUUUUUUCAUAGAAAUAUGUAGAUUUGGGGUUGUGAUUUAGAAAUUAGGAUAACAAUAAUUUUUGUUGAUAGAUGAGUAUUAUUUCAGAUUUUUUUGAUCAAUAGUUGUAUUUUUUAAAUAUAAUUUUCAAAAAUUCUAUUUUAGGAAAGUUUUCAUUUUUUUCAUAGAAAUAUUGUAGAUUUGGGGUUGUGGUUUAGAAAUUAGGAUAACAAUAAUUUUUGUUGAUAGAUGAGUAUUCUUUUAAAUUUUUUUGAUCAGUAGUUGUAUUUUUUAAAUAUAAUUUUCAAAAAUUCUAUUUUAGGAAAGUUUUCAUUUUUCCAUAGAAAAAUUGUAGAUUUGGGGUUGUGAUUUAGAAAUUAUGAUAAGAAUAAUUUUUGUUGAUAGAUGAGUAUUAUUUCAGAUUUUUUUGAUCAAUAGUUGUAUUUUUUAAAUAUAAUUUUCAAAAAUUCUAUUUUAGGAAAGUUUUCAUUUUUUCAUAGAAUAUUGUAGAUUUGGGGUUGUGGUUUAGAAAUUAGGAUAACAAUAUUUUUGUUGAUAGAUGAGUAUUCUUUUAGAUUUUUUUGAUCAAUAGUUUUAUUUUUUUAAAUUUAAAUAUAAUUCAAAAUUUCUAUUUUAGAAAGUUUUCAUUUUUUUUCAUAGAAAUAUUGUAGAUUUGGGGUUUUGUAUUUAGAAAUUAGGAUAACAAUAAUUUUUGUUGAUAGAUGAGUAUUCUUUCAGAUUUUUUUGAUCAAUAGUUGUAUUUUUUAAUAUAAUUUUCAAAAUUUCUAUUUUAGGAAAGUUUUCAUUUUUUCAUAGAAAUAUUGUAGAUUUGGGGUUGUGGUUUAGAAAUUAGGAUAACAAUAAUUUUUGUUGAUAGAUGAGUAUUCUUUUAAAUUUUUUUGAUCAAUAGUUGUAUUUUUUAAAUAUAAUUUUCAAAAAUUCUAUUUUAGAAAAGUUUUCAUUUUUCAUAGAAAUAUUGUAGAUUUGGGGUUUUGAUUUAGAAAUUAGGAUAACAAUAAUUUUGUUGAUAGAUGAGUAUUAUUUCAGAUUUUUUUGAUCAAUAGUUGUAUUUUUUAAAUAUAAUUUCAAAAAUUCUAUUUUAGGAAAGUUUUCAUUUUUUCAUAGAAAUAUUGUAGAUUUGGGGUUGUGGUUUAGAAAUUAGGAUAACAAUAAUUUUUGUUGAUAGAUGAGUAUUCUUUUAAAUUUUUUUGAUCAAUAGUUGUAUUUUUUAAUAUAAUUUCAAAAAUUCUAUUUUAGGAAAGUUUUCAUUUUUUUCAUCGAAAUAUUGUAGAUUUGGGGUUGUGAUUUAGAAAUUAGGAUAACAAUAAUUUUUGUUGAUAGAUGAGUAUUAUUUCAGAUUUUUUUGAUCAAUAGUUGUAUUUUUUAAUAUAAUUUUCAAAAUUCUAUUUUAGGAAAGUUUUCAUUUUUUCAUAGAAAUAAAUUGUAGAUUUGGGUUGUGGUUUAGAAUUAGGAUAACAAUAAUUUUUGUUGAUAGAUGAGUAUUCUUUUAAAUUUUUUUGAUCAAUAGUUGUAUUUUUUAAAUAUAUUUUCAAAAAUUCUAUUUUAGGAAAUUUUUCAUUUUUUCAUAGAAAUAUUGUAGAUUUGGGGUUGUGAUUUAGAAAUUAGGAUAACAAUAAUUUUUGUUGAUAGAUGAGUAUUAUUUCAGAUUUUUUGAUCAAUAGUUUGUAUUUUUUAAUAUAAUUUUCAAAAAUUCUAUUUUAGGAAAGUUUUCAUUUUUUCAUAGAAAUAUUGUAGAUUUGGGGUUGUGUUUAGAAAUUAGGAUAACAAUAAUUUUUGUUGAUAGAUGAGUAUUCUUUUAAAUUUUUUUGAUCAAUAGUUGUAUUUUUUAAAUAUAAUUUUCAAAAUUUCUAUUUUAGGAAAGUUUUCAUUUUUUUCAUAGAAAUAUUGUAGAUUUGGGGUUGUGAUUUAGAAUUAGGAUACAAUAAUUUUUGUUGAUAGAUGAGUAUUAUUUCAGAUUUUUUGGAUCAAUAGUUGUAUUUUUUAAAUAUAAUUUUCAAAAUUCUAUUUUAGGAAAGUUUUCAUUUUUUCAUAGAAUAUUGUAGAUUUGGGGUUGUGAUUUAGAAAUUAGGAUAACAAUAAUUUUUGUUGAUAGAUGAGUAUUCUUUUAAUUUUUUUGAUCAAUAGUUGUAUUUUUUAAAUAUAAUUUUCAAAAAAUAUAAUUUCUCAAAAAUUCUAUUUUAGGAAAGUUUUCAUUUUUUCAUAGAAAUAUUGUAGAUUUGGGGUUGUGGUUUAGAAAUUAGGAUAACAAUAAUUUUUGUUGAUAGAUGAGUAUUCUUUUAAUUUUUUUGAUCAAUGUUGUAUUUAAAUAUAUUUUCAAAAAUUCUAUUUUAGGAAAGUUUUCAUUUUUUCAUAGAAAUAUUGUAGAUUUGGGGUUGUGAUUUAGAAAUUAGGAUAACAAUAAUUUUUGUUGAUAGAUGAGUAUUAUUUCAGAUUUUUUUGAUCAAUAGUUGUAUUUUUUAAAUAUAAUUUUCAAAAAUUCUAUUUUAGGAAAGUUUUCAUUUUUUCAUAGAAAUAUUGUAGAUUUGGGGUUGUGAUUUAGAAAUUAGGAUAACAAUAAUUUUUGUUGAUAGAUGAGUAUUAUUUUAGAUUUUUUGAUCAAUAGUUGUAUUUUUUAAAUAUAAUUUUCAAAAAUUCUAUUUUAGGAAAGUUUUCAUUUUUUCAUAGAAAUAUUGUAGAUUUGGGGUUGUGAUUUAGAAAUUAGGAUAACAAUAUUUUUGUUGAUAGAUGAGUAUUCUUUUAAUUUUUUGAUCAAUAGUUGUAUUUUUUAAAUAAUUUCAAAAAUUCUAUUUUAGGAAAGUUUUCAUUUUUUUCAUUGAAAUAUUGUAGAUUUGGGGUUGUUGUUUAGAAAUUAGGAUAACAAUAUUUUUGUUGAUAGAUGAGUAUUCUUUUAAAUUUUUGAUCUAUAGUUGUAUUUUUUAAAUAUAAUUUUCAAAAAUUCUAUUUUAGGAAAGUUUUCGUUUUUUCAUAGAAAUAUUGUAGAUUGGGGGUUGGUUUUAGAAAUUAGGAUAACAAUUUUUGUUGAUAGAUGACUAUUCUUUUAAAUUUUUUUGAUCUGUAGUUGUAUUUUUUAAAUAUAAUUUUUAAAAAUUCUAUUUUAGGAACGUUUUCAUUUUUUCAUAGAAAUAUUGUAGAUUUUGGGUUGUGAUUUAGAAAUUUUGAUAACAAUAAUUUUUGUUGAUAGAUGAGUAUUAUUUCAGAUUUUUUUGAUCAAUAGUUGUAUUUUUUAAAUAUAUUUCUCAAAAAUUCUAUUUUAGGAAAGUUUUCAUUUUUUCAUAGAAAUAUUGUAGAUUUGGGGUUGUGGUUUAGAAAUUAGGAUAACAAUAAUUUUUGUUGAUAGAUGAGUAUUCUUUUAAAUUUUUUUGAUCAGUAGUUGUAUUUUUUAAAUAUAAUUUUCAAAAAUUCUAUUUUAGGAAAGUUUUCAUUUUUUCAUAGAAAUAUUGUAGAUUUGGGGUUGUGAUUUAGAAAUUAUGAUAAGAAUAAUUUGUUGAUAGAUGAGUAUUCUUUUAAUUUUUUUGAUCAAUAGUUGUAUUUUUAAAUAUAAUUUUCAAAAAUUCUAUUUUAGGAAAGUUUUCAUUUUUCAUAGAAAUAUUGUAGAUUUGGGGUUGUGAUUUAGAAAUUAGGAUAACAAUAAUUUUGUUGAUAUAUGAGUAUUCUUUUAAAUUUUUUUGAUCAGUAUUUGUAUUUUUUAAAUAUAAUUUCAAAAAUUCUAUUUUAGGAAAGUUUUCAUUUUUUUUCAUAGAAAUAUUGUAGAUUUGGGGUUGUAAUCUUGAAAUUAGGAUAACAAUAAUUUUGUUGAUAGAUGAGUAUUCUUUUAAAUUUUUUUGAUCAAUAGUUGUAUUUUUUAAAUAUAAUUUUCAAAAAUUCUAUUUUAGGAAAGUUUUCAUUUUUUCAUAGAAAUAUUGUAGAUUUGGGGUUGUGGUUUAGAAAUUAGGAUAACAAUAAUUUUUGUUGAUAGAUGAGUAUUCUUUUAAAUUUUUUGAUCAUAGUUGUAUUUUUUAAAUAUAAUUUUCAAAAAUUCUAUUUUAGGAAAGUUUUCAUUUUUUCAUAGAAAUAUUGUUUUGGGGUUGUGAUUUAGAAAUUAGGAUAACAAUAAUUUUUGUUGAUAGAUGAGUAUUAUUUCAGAUUUUUUUGAUCAAUAGUUGUAGUUUUUAAAUAUAAUUUCAAAAUUCUAUUUUAGGAAAGUUUUCAUUUUUUCAUUGAAAUAUUGUAGAUUUGAGGGUUGUGGUUUAUAAUUAGGAUAUCAAUAAUUUUUUGUUGAUAGAUGAGUAUUCUUUUAAAUUUUUUUGAUCUAUAGAUGUAUUUUUUAAAAUAAAUUUUCAAAAAUUCUAUUUUAGGAAAGUUUUCAUUUUUUCAUAGAAAUAUUGUAGAUUUGGGGUUGUGGUUUAGAAAUUAGGAUAACAAUAAUUUUUGUUGAUAGAUGAGUAUUCUUUUAAAUUUUUGAUCUGUAGUUGUAUUUUUUAAAUAUAAUUUUAAAAAUUCUAUUUUAGGAAAGUUUUCAUUUUUUCAUAGAAAUAUUGUAGAUUUGGGUUGUGAUUUAGAAAUUGAUAACAAUAAUUUUUGUUGAUAGAUGAGUAUUAUUUUAGAUUUUUUGAUCAAUAGUUGUAUUUUUAAAUAUAUUUCUCAAAAAUUCUAUUUUAGGAAAGUUUUCAUUUUUUCAUAGAAAUAUUGUAGAUUUGGGGUUGUGGUUUAGAAAUUAGGAUAACAAUAAUUUUUGUUGAUAGAUGAGUAUUCUUUUAAAUUUUUUUGAUCAGUAGUUGUAUUUUUUAAAUAUAAUUUUCAAAAAUUCUAUUUUAGGAAAGUUUUCAUUUUUUCAUAGAAAUAUUGUAGAUUUGGGGUUGUGAUUUAGAAAUUAUGAUAAGAAUAAUUUUUGUUGAUAGAUGAGUAUUCUUUUAAAUUUUUUUGAUCAAUAGUUGUAUUUUUAAAUAUAAUUUUCAAAAAUUCUAUUUUAGGAAAGUUUUCAUUUUUCCAUAGAAAUAAUGUAGAUUUGAGGUUGUGAUUUAGAAAUUAGGAUAACAAUAAUUUUUGUUGAUAUAUGAGUAUUCUUUUAAAUUUUUUUGAUCAGUAUUUGUAUUUUUUAAAUAUAAUUUUCAAAAAUUCUAUUUUACGAAAGUUUUCAUUUUUUUUCAUAGAAAUAUUGUAGAUUUGGGGUUGUAAUCUAGAAAUUAGGAUAACAAUAAUCUUUGUUGAUAGAUGAGUAUUCUUUUAAAUUUUUUUGAUCAAUAGUUGUAUUUUUUAAAUAUAAUUUUCAAAAAUUCUAUUUUAGGAAAGUUUUCAUUUUUUCAUAGAAAUAUUGUAGAUUUGGGGUUGUGGUUUAGAAAUUAGGAUAACAAUAAUUUUUGUUGAUAGAUGAGUAUUCUUUUAAAUUUUUUUGAUCAAUAGUUGUAUUUUUUAAAUAUAAUUUUCAAAAAUUCUAUUUUAGGAAAGUUUUCAUUUUUUCAUAGAAAUAUUGUAGAUUUGGGGUUGUGAUUUAGAAAUUAGGAUAACAAUAAUUUUUGUUGAUAGAUGAGUAUUAUUUCAGAUUUUUUUGAUCAAUAGUUGUAGUUUUUAAAUAUAAUUUUCAAAAAUUCUAUUUUAGGAAAGUUUUCAUUUUUUCAUUGAAAUAUUGUAGAUUUGGGGUUGUGGUUUAGAAAUUAGGAUAACAAUAAUUUUUGUUGAUAGAUGAGUAUUCUUUCAGAUUUUUUUGAUCAAUAGUUGUAUUUUUUAAAUAUAAUUUUCAAAAAUUCUAUUUUAGGAAAGUUUUCAUUUUUCCAUAGAAAUAAUGUAGAUUUGAGGUUGUGAUUUAGAAAUUAGGAUAACAAUAAUUUUUGUUGAUAUAUGAGUAUUCUUUUAAAUUUUUUUGAUCAGUAUUUGUAUUUUUUAAAUAUAAUUUUCAAAAAUUCUAUUUUAGGAAAGUUUUCAUUUUUUUUCAUAGAAAUAUUGUAGAUUUGGGGUUGUGAUUUAGAAAUUUUGAUAACAAUAAUUUUUGUCGAUUGAUGAGUAUUCUUUUAAAUUUUUUUGAUCUAUAGUUGUAUUUUUUAAAUAUAAUUUUCAAAAAUUCUAUUUUAGGAAAGUUUUCAUUUUUUCAUAGAAAUAUUGUAGAUUUGGGGUUGUGAUUUAGAAAUUAGGAUAACAAUAAUUUUUGUUGAUAGAUGAGUAUUCUUUUAAAUUUUUUUGAUCAGUAGUUGUAUUUUUCAAAUAUAAUUUUCAAAAAUUCUGUUUUAGGAAAGUUUUCAUUUUUUCAUAGAAAUAUUGUAGAUUUGGGGUUGUGAUUUAGAAAUUAUGAUAAGAAUAAUUUUUGUUGAUAGAUGAGUAUUAUUUCAGAUUUUUUUGAUCAAUAGUUGUAUUUUUUAAAUAUAAUUUUCAAAAAUUCUAUUUUAGGAAAGUUUUCAUUUUUUCAUAGAAAUAUUGUAGAUUUGGGGUUAUGAUUUAGAAAUUAGGAUAACAAUAAUUUUUGUUGAUAGAUGAGUAUUCUUUUAAACUUUUUUGAUCAAUAGUUGUAUUUUUUAAAUAUAAUUUUCAAAAAUUCUAUUUUAGGAAAGUUUUCAUUUUUUUCAUUGAAAUAUUGUAGAUUUGGGGUUGUGGUUUAUAAAUGAGUCGAUUACCAUUUAUGACACUUUUUUAUCUUUUUAACACUUUAAGACAACAAUCCGCUGGAGGGACACUUUCUUGAAUCUGAGAGCUGUUGGACAGAAAUGCCAUUGCUCAGAAGAAACGGAAGAUGCGCUUAUGUUUGGUAAGUAUAAUUGUAACUUUCUUUUCUAUUUCUCUAAUGUAUUCAUUUACUAUUUCAAAUUCUAAAAAUAAUAAAACAAAAAUAAUUAUCACAUUAAAUUAUGUAUAAAAUUCUAUCUUUUUAACAUCCAUUUUCAUAUAUAUAUACUAAUAUAUAUUAAAAAAAAGUAUGGAAUGGAUAUCAUAGUGUGGAUAAUAUAGUUAUAAAUUAAUUGUGACAUGGACACAAACCAUAUUUAUUCAUACACUAUUUCAGUUUCUGAUUAAAUAAAUAUAUAAUAACCAUAUAAAAACAUGUUUCUUUUUUCUUAUUAUUUUGAUAUCCAAAUAUAUAUUUUUUAUAUUUUAAUGUCUAACUAAAUUGCUAAAUUAUAAUUUAUUGGACAUAUUUUUUGGAUGGACACAAUAUUUUUUUUUUUUUACAAAAUUCUUUUUUGUUUUCUAUUUUUUUAUUUAAAGAUGUAUAUGACCAAAAAAAUUAGUAUAACAAAGUGAUAUAUAUUUGUUAUUUAAUGAUAAUUAUUUUAUUGUUUUAUCUAAUUUUUAUAUAUAUUUUAUAUUAUAACUUAUAAGAAUGUAUGGAUAUGGAUAUAAAAGUGUGUACGUAAGAUAUGUGGACAUGGAUAUAAAUGUGUAAAAGAGAAUAUCUAGACAUAUUAGUAUGACACACAAGUUGUAUCCACAUCAAAGUUUCUGAAAGAGAUCAUGUUAAAUGAUGUCCAUUAUCGAUUUUUGUGAGCUAGUAGGUGUGGACAUGGAUUAGGAUAUUUUAUAUGGACAUUGUAAUCAUGAAGAACAUAAUUGCAUAAAACAUGUCUGUGGUGUAUACUUGAAAAUUUUGAUACUAAUUAGAAUACAAAUCUGCACAUUUAAAAUUGAGGGUGAAAACAAAUACUUACAUAAAUAUAAGGACCAAAUAUGUAAAUUCAUCAUUCUUAUUGCAGAUCUAAUCGAGCUUUCACCCAUGGUGAUACCAAGCUCAAACCACUGCAGCUUCACCAUAUAAUGGAUGAGACUUCGGAAAUGAGUUGAGCAAGGCGAGGAGUCAACUUGAGCAGCAGAUCCGUGGUUUGGGGGAGGAUUUCGACGAGCUCGAACCCCAUGGCUUCACUGAGCCACCGAGCUUACCGAUGCGAUGUUGAGCUCGAAAUCCAUGUUGAGGCGUUUUCUCUUUCUUUUUUUUUAUCCGUGGAUUCUGUCAUGAUUCGUAAUAAAAGAUAGAAAAACAGACAAAAAUAGAGAUAGACAAAAGGAAUAAGAAAAAGUUGAGAAGAAGGGACAAGCCAAGAGGAUAAGAAUUAAUUGUUUCUUCGAUUUGAUGAAGGAGAGUGUAUCGUGAUUAUUGGAUUUGAGUAUGCGUUAUGAAAAUAAAUAAAAAGAAAAAAAUAGAGUUUAAUAAAAGUGAAUCUGAACUUGAAUUUUGAAAUUCUAAAAUAAAUAAAUUUUUGAAUGAUUUAAUAAAAAGACUUUUGGAUUUAGUUAUAUUUCUAGUUAUUGUUAGAUAAGGUUGAGGGCAUCUAAGACAUUGCACAUAGAAAUUGUGUGCCUCAAGCAACAAGUGUCUAAAUAUGCAAUUCCAAAGACAUAAUGUGUCCUAGAAUGUAAAAAAAUCUUUAUAAAUUAGGAUAUCAAUAAUUUUUGAUGAUAGAUGAGUAUUCUUUUAAAUUUUUUUGAUCUAUAGAUGUAUUUUUAAAAUAUAAUUUUCGAAAAUUCUAUUUGAGGAAAGUUUUCGUUUUUUCAUAGAAAUAUUGUAGAUUUGGGGUUGUGGUUUAGAAAUUAAGAUAACAAUAAUUUUUGUUGAUAGAUGACUAUUCUUUUAAAUUUUUUUGAUCUGUAGUUGUAUUUUUUAAAUAUAAUUUUCAAAAAUUCUAUUUUAGGAAAUUUUCAUUUUUCAUAGAAAUAUUGUAGAUUUGGGUUGUGAUUUAGAAAUUUGAUAACAAUAAUUUUGUUGAUAGAGAUAUUAUUUUUCAGAUUUUUUGAUCAAUAGUUGUAUUUUUUAAAUAUAAAUCUCAAAAAUUCUAUUUUAGGAAAGUUUUCAUUUUUUCAUAGAAAAUUGUAGAUUUGGGGUGUGGUUUAGAAAAUUAGGAUAACAAUAAUUUUUGUUGAUAGAUGAGUAUUCUUUUAAAUUUUUUUGAUCAGUAGUUGUAUUUUUUAAAUAUAAUUUUCAAAAAUUCUAUUUUAGGAAAGUUUUCAUUUUUUCAUAGAAAUAUUGUAGAUUUGGGGUUGUGAUUUAGAAAUUAUGAUAAGAAUAAUUUUUGUUGAUAGAUGAGUAUUCUUUUAAAUUUUUUUGAUCAAUAGUUGUAUUUUUUAAAUAUAAUUUUCAAAAAUUCUAUUUUAGGAAAGUUUUCAUUUUUCCAUAGAAAUAAUGUAGAUUUGAGGUUGUGAUUUAGAAAUUAGGAUAACAAUAAUUUUUGUUGAUAUAUGAGUAUUCUUUUAAAUUUUUUUGAUCAGUAUUUGUAUUUUUUAAAUAUAAUUUUCAAAAAUUCUAUUUUACGAAAGUUUUCAUUUUUUUUCAUAGAAAUAUUGUAGAUUUGGGUUGUAUUAGAAAUAGGAUAACAAUAAUUUUGUUGAUAGAUGAGUAUUCUUUUAAAUUUUUUUGAUCAAUAGUUGUAUUUUUUAAAUAUAAUUUUCAAAAAUUCUAUUUAGGAAAAGUUUCAUUUUUUCAUAGAAAUAUUGUAGAUUUGGGGUGUGGUUUAGAAAUUAGAUAACAAUAAUUUUUUGUUGAUAGAUGAGUAUUCUUUUAAAUUUUUUGAUCAAUAGUUGUAUUUUUAAAAUAUAAUUUUCAAAAAUUCUAUUUUAGGAAAGUUUUCAUUUUUUCAUAGAAUAAUUGUAGAUAUUGGGGUUGUGAUUUAGAAAUUAGGAUAACAAUAAUUUUUGUUGAUAGAUGAGUAUUCUUUCAGAUUUUUUUGAUCAAUAGUUGAAGUUUUUAAAUAUAAUUUUCAAAAAUUCUAUUUUAGGAAAGUUUUCAUUUUUUCAUUGAAAUAUUGUAGAUUUGGUUGUGGUUUAGAAAUUAGGAUAACAAUAAUUUUUGUUGAUAGAUGAGUAUUCUUUUAAAUUUUUUUGAUCAAUUGUUGUAUUUUUUAAAUAUAAUUUUCAAAAAAUUCUAUUUUAGGAAGUUUUCGUUUUUUCAUCGAAAUAUGUAGAUUUGGGGUUGUGAUUUAGAAAUUAGGAUAACAAUAAUUUUUGUUAAUAGAUGAGUAUUAUUUCCAGAUUUUUUUAUCAAUAGUUGUAUUUUUUAAAAUAUAAUUUUCAAAAAUUCUAAUUUAGGAAAGUUUUCAUUUUUAAAUAUAAUUUUCAAAAAUUCUAUUUUAGGAAAGUUUUCAUUUUUUCAUAUAAAUAUUGUAGAUUUGGGGUUGUGAUUUAGAAAUUAGGAUAACAAUAAUUUUUGUUGAUAGAUGAGUAUUCUUUUAAACUUUUUUGAUCAAUAGUUGUAUUUUUUAAAUAUAAUUUUCAAAAAUUCUAUUUUAGGAAAGUUUUCAUUUUUUUCAUUGAAAUAUUGUAGAUUUGAGGUUGUGGUUUAUAAAUUAGGAUAUCAAUAAUUUUUGAUGAUAGAUGAGUAUUCUUUUAAAUUUUUUUGAUCUAUAGAUGUAUUUUUUAAAUAUAAUUUUCGAAGAUUCUAUUUGAGGAAAGUUUUCGUUUUUUCAUAGAAAUAUUGUAGAUUUGGGGUUGUGGUUUAGAAAUUAGGAUAACAAUAAUUUUUGUUGAUAGAUGACUAUUCUUUUAAAUUUUUUUGAUCUGUAGUUGUAUUUUUUAAAUAUAAUUUUUAAAAAUUCUAUUUUAGGAAAGUUUUCAUUUUUUCAUAGAAAUAUUGUAGAUUUGGGGUUGUGAUUUAGAAAUUUUGAUAACAAUAAUUUUUGUUGAUAGAUGAGUAUUAUUUCAGAUUUUUUUGAUCAAUAGUUGUAUUUUUUAAAUAUAAUUCUCAAAAAUUCUAUUU